This 26-nucleotide non-coding RNA is filed under the name Mus musculus (house mouse). The record is from RNAcentral. Lineage: Eukaryota; Metazoa; Chordata; Mammalia; Rodentia; Muridae.
UGAGAAGCUGACCUUCUCAGAAAAGC